GACGAACGCUGGCGGCGUGCCUAACACAUGCAAGUCGAACGAAGCUUGACGAAUGAUUCUUCGGAUGAAUUCUGAUAUGACUGAGUGGCGGACGGGUGAGUAACGCGUGAGCAACCUGCCCUUCAGAGGGGGGUAGUGUCUGGGAACGGACAGUAAUACCGCAUAACGUACAUUGACGGCAUCUUCGAUGUACCAAAGCUUUUGCGCUGAAGGAUGGGCUCGCGUCUGAUUAGAUAGUUGGUGGGGUAAUGGCCUACCAAGUCGACGAUCAGUAGCCGGACUGAGAGGUUGAACGGCCACAUUGGGACUGAGACAUGGCCCAG
This 323-nucleotide ribosomal RNA is filed under the name uncultured bacterium. RNAcentral's name for it is "bacterial SSU rRNA". It matches the Rfam family "Bacterial small subunit ribosomal RNA", at positions 28 to 334 of the family's 1533-position model. The record is from RNAcentral.